GGCUCAGAACGAACGCUGGCGGCGUGCCUAACACAUGCAAGUCGAGCGAGAAAGCCCGCAAGGGUGAGUAAAGCGGCGCACGGGUGCGUAACACGUGGGUAAUCUGCCCUGAGGUCCGGAAUAACUUCCCGAAAGGGAUGCUAAUGCCGGAUGAGACCACGGGAGCCUCGGCUCCUGCGGGAAAAGGUGGCCUCUGUACACAAGCUAUCGCUUCAGGAUGAGCCCGCGGCCCAUCAGCUCGUUGGCGGGGUAAUGGCCCACCAAGGCUACGACGGGUAGCUGGUCUGAGAGGACGAUCAGCCACACUGGAACUGAGACACGGUCCAGACUCCUACGGGAGGCAGCAGUGGGGAAUCUUGCGCAAUGGGCGAAAGCCUGACGCAGCAACGCCGCGUGUGUGAUGAAGGUCUUCGGAUCGUAAAGCACUGUCGCGAGGGACGAAUAAGGGGCGGGCUAACAUCCCGUUCCGAUGACGGUACCUCGAGAGGAAGCACCGGCUAACUCUGUGCCAGCAGCCGCGGUAAUACAGAGGGUGCAAGCGUUGUUCGGAAUUAUUGGGCGUAAAGCGCGUGUAGGCGGCUCAGCAAGUCAGGUGUGAAAGCCCUCGGCUUAACCGAGGAAGUGCGCCUGAAACUACUGAGCUUGAGUGCCGGAGAGGGUGGCGGAAUUCCCGGUGUAGAGGUGAAAUUCGUAGAUAUCGGGAGGAACACCAGCGGCGAAGGCGGCCACCUGGACGGUAACUGACGCUGAGACGCGAAAGCGUGGGGAGCAAACAGGAUUAGAUACCCUGGUAGUCCACGCUGUAAACGAUGAGCGCUAGGUGUUGUGGGUGUUGACCCCCGCAGUGCCGCAGCUAACGCAUUAAGCGCUCCGCC
RNAcentral lists this ribosomal RNA (875 nucleotides) under uncultured bacterium. Its description in RNAcentral is "bacterial SSU rRNA". It matches the Rfam family "Bacterial small subunit ribosomal RNA", at positions 21 to 873 of the family's 1533-position model. The record is from RNAcentral.